This 164-nucleotide ribosomal RNA is filed under the name uncultured bacterium. Its description in RNAcentral is "partial 16S rRNA". It matches the Rfam family "Bacterial small subunit ribosomal RNA", at positions 355 to 511 of the family's 1533-position model. The record is from RNAcentral.
UAGGGAAUCUUCCACAAUGGACGCAAGUCUGAUGGGGCAACGCCGCGUGAGUGAAGAAGGUCUUCGGAUCGUAAAACUCUGUUGUUAGAGAAGAACACGAGUGAGAGUAACUGUUCUUGUAUUGACGGUAUCUAACCAGAAAGCCACGGCUAACUACGUGCCAA